GGAUGCGAUCAUAGCAGCACUAAAGCACCGGAUCCCAUCAGAACUCCGUAGUUAAGCGUGCUUGGGCGAGAGUAGUACUAGGAUGGGUGACCUCCUGGGAAGUCCUCGUGUUGCAUUCC
This 119-nucleotide ribosomal RNA is filed under the name Triticum aestivum (bread wheat). Lineage: Eukaryota; Viridiplantae; Streptophyta; Magnoliopsida; Poales; Poaceae. RNAcentral also lists the same sequence under 2 other names. The record is from RNAcentral.